RNAcentral lists this ribosomal RNA (390 nucleotides) under uncultured bacterium. RNAcentral describes it as "bacterial SSU rRNA". It matches the Rfam family "Bacterial small subunit ribosomal RNA", at positions 32 to 402 of the family's 1533-position model. The record is from RNAcentral.
AAUCAACGCUGGCGGCGUGCCUCAGACAUGCAAGUCGAACGCGAAAGUUUCCUUCGGGAAACAAGUAGAGUGGCGCACGGGUGAGUAACACGUAGGUAAUCUACCUUCGGAUGGGGAAUAAUAAUCGGAAACGGUUGCUAAUACCGCAUAAUGCAGCGGCACCUAAUGGUGACAGUUGUUAAAGCGGGGGAUCGAAAGACCUCGCGUCUGAAGAGGAGCCUGCGGCGGAUAGCUAGUUGGUAAGGUAAUGGCUUACCAAGGCUACGAUCCGUAACCGGCCUGAGAGGGCGGUCGGUCACACUGACACUGACAUACGGGUCAGACUCCUACGGGAGGCAGCAGUCGGGAAUUUUGGGCAAUGGGCGAAAGCCUGACCCAGCAACGCCGCGU